This 433-nucleotide ribosomal RNA is filed under the name uncultured bacterium. RNAcentral's name for it is "partial 16S ribosomal RNA". It matches the Rfam family "Bacterial small subunit ribosomal RNA", at positions 29 to 507 of the family's 1533-position model. The record is from RNAcentral.
AACGAACGCUGGCGGCAUGCCUAACACAUGCAAGUCGAACGAGACCUUCGGGUCUAGUGGCGCACGGGUGCGUAACGCGUGGGAACCUGCCCUUAGGUUCGGAAUAACUCCCCGAAGGGGGUGCUAAUACCGGAUAAUGUCUUCGGACCAAAGAUUUAUCGCCUUUGGAUGGGCCCGCGUUGGAUUAGCUAGUUGGUAGGGUAAAAGCCUACCAAGGCGACGAUCCAUAGCUGGUCUGAGAGGAUGAUCAGCCACACUGGGACUGAGACACGGCCCAGACUCCUACGGGAAGCAGCAGUGGGGAAUAUUGGACAAUGGGCGAAAGCCUGAUCCAGCAAUGCCGCGUGAGUGAUGAAGGCCUUAGGGUUGUAAAGCUCUUUUACCCGGGAUGAUAAUGACAGUACCGGGAGAAUAAGCGCCGGCUAACUCCGUG